CAAUAGCGUAUAUUAAAGCUGUUGCGGUUAAAAAGCUCGUAGUUGGAUUUCUGUCAAGGACAACUGGUCCGCCCCUCGGGUGAGCACAUAGUUUGGUCUUGGCAUCUUGUUGGAAACUGUUGCUGCACUUGGUUGUGUGGCGCAGUGUCCAGCACUUUCACUUUGAGGAAAUUGGAGUGUUUCAAGCAGGCACAUGCCUUUGGACACAGUAGCAUGGAAUAAUUAGAUUGGGCUUUUGCUCCAACUUGUCGGUUUCUGGAGCUGAGGUGAGAAUUGAUGGGGAUUGUUGGGGGCAUCCGAAUUUAGCCGUCAGAGGUGAAAUUCUUGGAUCUGCUAAAGACGGACAACUGCGAAAGCGUUUGCCCAGGAUGUUUUCAUUGA
This 381-nucleotide ribosomal RNA is filed under the name uncultured eukaryote. Its description in RNAcentral is "partial 18S ribosomal RNA". It matches the Rfam family "Eukaryotic small subunit ribosomal RNA", at positions 592 to 976 of the family's 1831-position model. The record is from RNAcentral.